This 468-nucleotide ribosomal RNA is filed under the name uncultured bacterium. RNAcentral's name for it is "partial 16S ribosomal RNA". It matches the Rfam family "Bacterial small subunit ribosomal RNA", at positions 28 to 507 of the family's 1533-position model. The record is from RNAcentral.
GGCGAACGCUGGCGGCGGGCUUAACACAUGCAAGUCGAACGGAAAGGCCCUGCGUGUGUGGGGUUCUCGAUUGGCGAAGGGGUGAGUAACAGGUGAGUAACCUGCCCUUGAUUUUGGGAUAACUUCAGGAAAGUGGGGCUAAUACCGUAUAGGAUAUCCUGCUGCAGGGUGGGGGUGGGAAAGUCUGGGCGGGUGCGGAUGGACUCGCGGGUGAUGAGCUUGCUGGUGGGGUGGGUGCAUACCAAGGCAUGCGCGGGUACGCCGCCGGGGAGGGGGGACGGGCACCUUGGGACUGCGAUACGGCCCAGACUCCUACGGGAGGCAGCAGUGGGGAAUCUUGCCCAAUGGGCGGAAGCCUGAGGCAGCGACGCUGCGUGCGGGAUGACGGUCUUCGGGGUGUAAACCGCUUCCGCCUGUGACGACGCGUGAGUGACGGUAAUGGGUAAAGAAGCACCGGCUAACUACGUG